Molecule: ribosomal RNA, 433 nt
Filed under: uncultured bacterium
Lineage: Bacteria
Description: partial 16S ribosomal RNA
Rfam family: Bacterial small subunit ribosomal RNA
Source: RNAcentral
AACGAACGCUGGCGGCAUGCCUAAUACAUGCAAGUCGAACGAGAUCUUCGGAGCUAGUGGCGCACGGGUGCGUAACGCGUGGGAAUCUGCCCUUGGGUUCGGAAUAACUUCUGGAAACGGAAGCUAAUACCGGAUGAUGACGUAAGUCCAAAGAUUUAUCGCCCAAGGAUGAGCCCGCGUAGGAUUAGCUAGUUGGUGGGGUAAAGGCCCACCAAGGCGACGAUCCUUAGCUGGUCUGAGAGGAUGAUCAGCCACACUGGGACUGAGACACGGCCCAGACUCCUACGGGAGGCAGCAGUAGGGAAUAUUGGACAAUGGGGGAAACCCUGAUCCAGCAAUGCCGCGUGAGUGAUGAAGGCCUUAGGGUUGUAAAGCUCUUUUACCCGGGAUGAUAAUGACAGUACCGGGAGAAUAAGCUCCGGCUAACUCCGUG